UUGAACUAAAACAGCUAAAACAGUCAUCAUUUUUUACAAUAAUUAUAACAAUAACUGUUUUCAAUCAUAUUCCUAAAUAAAGUUCACAUAUUAAUAAUACAGUUGUAACAAUUGUUCAGGUGAUUAGAUCUUUCUUCUCUCCUGCACUUUUCAACUGAGUUAUAAAUAAUAUGAGGGAGGAGGGACUCAGUGUUCAUAUGAUCUUGUGUCUGACAGAGACUGUGGAUGAAUCGAUUCAGUCUGACUCUUCUCAGAGUGAACACUUGAACAAUGGAUCUUCAUUCAGUUAUUCUGCUCUGUGUCUCAGCUGCUGCUGUCUUUGGAAAUGUCAUCAAACCAGAACAGCUAGAUGUUUUUGCUGAAGAGGGUUCAAGUGUUACGUUAUCCUGUACUUUUUCUGACUCUGGAGUUACAAACUAUCUCCACUGGUACCGUCAGUAUGGAAGAUCAAAACCUGAAUUUCUUGUACUCACCAACAACAAAGCAAAAAUAGCUGAUGUGUCUAAGAUAGAUUCAAGAUUCUCUGUUAAUAUUCCAAAAAGUGAUCGUGUGGAUCUGAAGAUCUCCUCUGCUGCUGUAUCAGACUCUGCUCUGUACUACUGUGCUCUGCAGCCCACAGUGACAGGAAACACAUCAGCUCUCUACAAAAACCUGUUACACUGA
This is a non-coding RNA of Carassius gibelio (silver crucian carp), 663 nucleotides long. NCBI's taxonomy places the organism in Eukaryota, Metazoa, Chordata, Actinopteri, Cypriniformes, Cyprinidae. The record is from the annotation of a RefSeq genome assembly.